RNAcentral lists this ribosomal RNA (253 nucleotides) under uncultured bacterium. Its description in RNAcentral is "partial 16S ribosomal RNA". It matches the Rfam family "Bacterial small subunit ribosomal RNA", at positions 524 to 776 of the family's 1533-position model. The record is from RNAcentral.
UACGUAGGGGGCAAGCGUUAUCCGGAAUUACUGGGCGUAAAGCGCACGCAGGCGGUUCGCCAAGUUUGGGGUGACAGUUGUCGGCUCAACCGACAAAGGACUUCAAAAACUGGUGAACUUGAGGACGAGAGAGGAACAUGGAACUCCAGGUGUAGUAGUGAAAUGCGUAGAUAUCUGGAAGAACACCAAUGGCGAAGGCAAUGUUCUGGCUCGUUUCUGACGCUCAGGUGCGAAAGCCAGGGGAGCGAACGGG